Molecule: ribosomal RNA, 279 nt
Filed under: uncultured bacterium
Lineage: Bacteria
Description: partial 16S ribosomal RNA
Rfam family: Bacterial small subunit ribosomal RNA
Source: RNAcentral
UGCCAGCCGCCGCGGUAAUACGGAGGGGGUUAGCGUUGUUCGGAAUCACUGGGCGUAAAGCGUACGUAGGUGGCAAAGUCAGUCAGGCAUGAAAGCCCUCGGCUCAACCGAGGAAUUGCGUUUGAUACUACUUUGCUAGAGUCUCGGAGAAGUUGGCGGAAUUCCAGGUGUAGGAGUGAAAUCCGUAGAUAUCUGGAGGAACACCAGUGGCGAAGGCGGCCAACUGGACGAGUACUGACACUGAGGUACGAAAGCGUGGGUAGCAAACAGGAUUAGAUA